UACGUAGGGGGCGAGCGUUGUCCGGAAUCACUGGGCGUAAAGGGCGUCUAGGCGGCUUAGUAAGCGGAAUGUGAAAGCCCAGGGCUCAACCCUGGAAAGCCGUUCCGAACUACUAGGCUUGAGUUCGGGAGAGGGCAGUGGAAUUCCCGGUGUAGCGGUGAAAUGUUUAGAUAUCGGGAGGAACACCAGUGGCGAAGGCGGCUGCCUGGACCGAUACUGACGCUGAAGCGCGAAAGCCAGGGUAGCGAACGGGAUUAGAUACC
RNAcentral lists this ribosomal RNA (263 nucleotides) under uncultured bacterium. RNAcentral describes it as "partial 16S ribosomal RNA". It matches the Rfam family "Bacterial small subunit ribosomal RNA", at positions 524 to 786 of the family's 1533-position model. The record is from RNAcentral.